RNAcentral lists this long non-coding RNA (521 nucleotides) under Cavia porcellus (domestic guinea pig). Its description in RNAcentral is "lncRNA (ENSCPOG00000036895.1)". Lineage: Eukaryota; Metazoa; Chordata; Mammalia; Rodentia; Caviidae. The record is from RNAcentral.
UUUUAAGCAACAUGAUUUCAUUUAUUCUUCUAUUUUCUUCUCUGUAGAGUUCUCUGUUCAAAAGAAAGAAGCUUAACCUGCCUUCUGAAUUCUGAGGUCAUACUGCACAGUGAUGCUCACAGUUUACGUGCAUAUCCACACGGCCCCUGCGCCCCCACAGCUCCACACACAUACACACGUUCUGGCAUACGGAGAACUUCAGAAACCCUGAUGCCUGGGAAGCCAUCCUCAUGGCAGGGUAGAUGGAACGAGCAAAUGUUAUCCACAGAGGACAUUGAAACCUUGUGUUGGACAGAGUUUUUCAAUCAAAGCUUUCUAGAAGUUUGGGCAAGACAUUUGAAGAGACCACAACCCAGUCCAAACAGAGACGUGACGGGUAAAAACCAAAGAGGUGUGACUAUUUAAAGGUGCCAAGAGAGAGCCACGGAGAGAUGCAUUUUCUCUUGAUUUUAUUUUUUUCUUAAACAUCUAUCAACCCUUAAACUGUUGAAAGAAUCAAUGUUUUCUUUUCGUCCCUGCCG